This is a long non-coding RNA of Bolinopsis microptera, 1449 nucleotides long. RefSeq lists it as uncharacterized. The transcript has 4 exons. The record is from RefSeq and is a predicted model, not a curated record. NCBI's taxonomy places the organism in Eukaryota, Metazoa, Ctenophora, Tentaculata, Lobata, Bolinopsidae.
UUUUGGUAAUACAGUGAACAUCAGUUUUAGCGUUCGUCGCUGUUCGCUGAAUUUGUGCGAUAAGUCGGCUGCAGGGCCUAUCACUUUUACAUUGGUUUGGUGUUAUUUUGGAUGUCUGUGGAUGUGUGUGUCAAUGGAGCUUGACAUGAUUAUCACUCAGAGACCAUAUGGUUGAAGUUUAUUUGGAUGUUACACGGAAAAACGUCCGUGAUCAUAGUUGUUGAGCAGUUGUAGCCGGCUGAUAGUCUGUAUGGAAGAUAAUUUGCAGCUCGUUCCUUUGCGAACGACAUCAGAUUGUUCACUGCUUGUACAUUUCACAUAAAUGAGAAAGCACGGGUGAUUCCAGAGUUGGUGAAUUCUGAACCCUCGAGAUGUCCGCUUUCUUCACUCUUAGGAAAAAGUGGGAUGUUGCAGAGAAAGUAGAGCCAGAUAACUUGGAUUGAAGCCAACAGGAAAGCUGUCUAAAAGAGCGAACAGACCUCCUGUUACAGACGAUGUUACGAACGUUUUGUGUUGCUGUGCGUGUUUGCGUAAAUUCGCAACGUAAACAUUGGGUACAAAGAAGUGUUGUGUUAGGGAAUGCUAUUGAAUUAGUCUAAUAACGGGAGAUUGUUGGGGCAUUCAAAUUUCAACUGUUCUAUUUUCAAGCCUGAAGAAUUUUUUGAAACAGCAAUAUACCCAGUAGUCGAGAUCUACAAGAAAGGUUAUUUUGAUAUAUUUUACUGAGGAUUACAUCUUUGGUGCCAAAGCUAUCUUUUAAAAUACUUUGUAAUCCUGAUAAAAUUGCAUGAAUCCGUUUUUCUGGCACGAUUAAUCAUUAGUUUGCAACAGUAAACGUUAAGUAGACUUACUGUUGAGUACCGGUAUACAUUCUGGUUGAAAGAUUGAGAACACAUCAACCGUUAAGGUUGUGAUAGUGGUAAUAAUUUAACAGGUCUGACGCCUGUAAAUCCGCUGUAUCUAGAGAUCUAGUACAAUAAUUUAUAUCACAGUCUCGAUUAUAAACACGGUCUAGUAUGCUCUGUUAAAUUAUAUGGCUAAUUUGCUAGAAAGGUUGUGUUUGUCAAUUUAUACCACACGUUAUUUAGCUUCGUUACAUAAAUCCUAGAUGAAUAUUCACCGUCUAGAAAUGGAUUAACUGUGUUUCGAUCACAUUAUUAUUGCGUUGGCGGCCCCACAUUGACGGGACCUGCAGCAUGGAUGUUAUCCGAACCACCAGGAUUAACAUAUUUACAACCUGUCCCGUCAACAUUUUGUCGAAUCUGGGUUCAAACCGGCUUCAUGCAGUCGAGAAAUAAGAAUAGUCUUGACCACGGCUUAGUUAGAGUUGACCUGUAACGGGUAAUCUUUACAGAAUUAAUGAACCAUGCCCCCUUUUCCAAUAUGUAAAUUAGUAUUUAGUUUUGGUAAUAUGAUUUUGUUUCAGUAAUCGAUUGUUUAAAGGUUUAA